This 242-nucleotide ribosomal RNA is filed under the name uncultured bacterium. RNAcentral's name for it is "partial 16S ribosomal RNA". It matches the Rfam family "Bacterial small subunit ribosomal RNA", at positions 15 to 252 of the family's 1533-position model. The record is from RNAcentral.
GAUCAUGGCUCAGGACGAACGCUGGCGGCGCGCCUAACACAUGCAAGUCGAACAAGAGAGAAGGAGCUUGCUUCUUCGAUCGAGUGGCGAACGGGUGAGUAACGCGUGAGGAACCUGCCUCAAAGAGGGGGACAACAGUUGGAAACGACUGCUAAUACCGCAUAAGCCCACGGGUCGGCAUCGACCUGGGGGAAAAGGAGCAAUCCGCUUUGAGAUGGCCUCGCGUCCGAUUAGCUAGUUGG